CCGGUAACGACGGUCGGUAUGGAGCAGUUUCACCUACUGGUUCAGUAGGUCAGAGGCCUGACUGAAGCAGUGCAGGCCAUGCAGCAGCAGCAGCAACAGCCGCAGGUGUCAGUGCGGUUGGAAAGAGUGUAGUCGGAGCUUCAAGAUCCGACAGUAGGGUAGGCCACUUAGGCUAGUCAUCCUGUCUUCCCCGGCAAGGAGAAUCCGAGGGUGGAGAGCCCCCAGUCUGAUCAUGAUUUCACUCCCGGAGGAUCCCUACCUCCACUCUACCAAAAGACCCUCGAGACUC
Molecule: long non-coding RNA, 289 nt
Filed under: Elaeis guineensis (African oil palm)
Lineage: Eukaryota; Viridiplantae; Streptophyta; Magnoliopsida; Arecales; Arecaceae
Description: long non-coding RNA (EGUI_LNC052958)
Source: RNAcentral